GAUGAACGCUGGCGGCGUGCCUAAUACAUGCAAGUCGAGCGAACAGACGAGGAGCUUGCUCCUCUGACGUUAGCGGCGGACGGGUGAGUAACACGUGGAUAACCUACCUAUAAGACUGGGAUAACUUCGGGAAACCGGAGCUAAUACCGGAUAAUAUAUUGAACCGCAUGGUUCAAUAGUGAAAGACGGUUUUGCUGUCACUUAUAGAUGGAUCCGCGCCGCAUGAGCUAGUUGGUAAGGUAACGGCUUACCAAGGCAACGAUGCGUAGCCGACCUGAGAGGGUGAUCGGCCACACUGGAACUGAGACACGGUCCAGACUCCUACGGGAGGCAGCAGUAGGGAAUCUUCCGCAAUGGGCGAAAGCCUGACGGAGCAACGCCGCGUGAGUGAUGAAGGUCUUCGGAUCGUAAAACUCUGUUAUUAGGGAAGAACAUAUGUGUAAGUAACUGUGCACAUCUUGACGGUACCUAAUCAGAAAGCCACGGCUAACUACGUG
This 497-nucleotide ribosomal RNA is filed under the name uncultured bacterium. RNAcentral's name for it is "partial 16S ribosomal RNA". It matches the Rfam family "Bacterial small subunit ribosomal RNA", at positions 28 to 507 of the family's 1533-position model. The record is from RNAcentral.